Molecule: ribosomal RNA, 425 nt
Filed under: uncultured bacterium
Lineage: Bacteria
Description: partial 16S ribosomal RNA
Rfam family: Bacterial small subunit ribosomal RNA
Source: RNAcentral
GUGGGGAAUCUUAGACAAUGGGGGAAACCCUGAUCUAGCCAUGCCGCGUGAGCGAUGAAGGCCUUAGGGUUGUAAAGCUCUUUCAGCUGGGAAGAUAAUGACGGUACCAGCAGAAGAAGCCCCGGCUAACUCCGUGCCAGCAGCCGCGGUAAUACGGAGGGGGCUAGCGUUGUUCGGAAUUACUGGGCGUAAAGCGCGCGUAGGCGGACCAGAAAGUUGGAGGUGAAAUCCCAGGGCUCAACCUUGGAACUGCCUUCAAAACUCCUGGUCUGGAGUUCGAGAGAGGUGAGUGGAAUUCCGAGUGUAGAGGUGAAAUUCGUAGAUAUUCGGAGGAACACCAGUGGCGAAGGCGGCUCACUGGCUCGAUACUGACGCUGAGGUGCGAUAGCGUGGGGAGCAAACAGGAUUAGAAACCCCGGUAGUCC